AGUGAACGCUGGCGGUAGGCCUAACACAUGCAAGUCGAACGGCAGCACAGUAAGAGCUUGCUCUUACGGGUGGCGAGUGGCGGACGGGUGAGGAAUACAUCGGAAUCUACUUUUUCGUGGGGGAUAACGUAGGGAAACUUACGCUAAUUCCGCAUACGACCUACGGGUGAAAGCAGGAGAUCUUCGGACCUUGCGCGAUUGAAUGAGCCGAUGUCGGAUUAGCUAGUUGGCGGGGUAAAGGCCCACCAAGGCGACGAUCCGUAGCUGGUCUGAGAGGAUGAUCAGCCACACUGGAACUGAGACACGGUCCAGACUCCUACGGGAGGCAGCAGUGGGGAAUAUUGGACAAUGGGCGCAAGCCUGAUCCAGCCAUACCGCGUGGGUGAAGAAGGCCUUCGGGUUGUAAAGCCCUUUUGUUGGGAAAGAAAAGCAGCAGGUGAAUACCCCGCUGUUCUGACGGUACCCAAAGAAUAAGCACCGGCUAACUUCGUG
RNAcentral lists this ribosomal RNA (492 nucleotides) under uncultured bacterium. RNAcentral describes it as "partial 16S ribosomal RNA". It matches the Rfam family "Bacterial small subunit ribosomal RNA", at positions 29 to 507 of the family's 1533-position model. The record is from RNAcentral.